This 267-nucleotide long non-coding RNA is filed under the name Brassica napus (rape). RNAcentral describes it as "long non-coding RNA (BNAP_LNC015683)". Lineage: Eukaryota; Viridiplantae; Streptophyta; Magnoliopsida; Brassicales; Brassicaceae. The record is from RNAcentral.
GGUUUAGGGUUUAGAUUUUAGGGUUUAGGGUUUAGGGUUUAGGGUUUAAAGUUUAGGGUUUAGGGUUUAGAGUUUAUGGUUUAGGGUUUAUGGUUUAGGGUUUAGGGUUUAGAGUUUAGGGUUUAGGGUUUAGGGUUUAGGGUUUAGAGUUGAGAAAUGAAGUUUUGGGGAUAAGAUUUCAAAUUUUGAAAAAUAAAAAAAUUAAAAUUUUCAAAGGAUAAACUUAGAAAGAUGCUAUUUUGGUCAUUUUAGUUUUUGAGUGUUAUU